This 62-nucleotide non-coding RNA is filed under the name unclassified sequences. Its description in RNAcentral is "RAGATH-18 RNA". It matches the Rfam family "RAGATH-18 RNA". Rfam says of the family: Actinobacteria, Firmicutes, Fusobacteria, Thermotogae (1 example). Nearby to self-cleaving ribozyme genes The record is from Rfam by way of RNAcentral.
ACUGUGGAGUGUCAAACAAAAAGUCGGUAGCUACGGCAAAGACGGACACGCAGAAGCAGUAA